RNAcentral lists this ribosomal RNA (490 nucleotides) under uncultured bacterium. RNAcentral's name for it is "partial 16S ribosomal RNA". It matches the Rfam family "Bacterial small subunit ribosomal RNA", at positions 28 to 507 of the family's 1533-position model. The record is from RNAcentral.
GAUGAACGCUAGCUACAGGCUUAACACAUGCAAGUCGCGGGGCAGCAUGGGGGUUGCUUGCAAUCCCCGAUGGCGACCGGCGCACGGGUGAGUAACGCGUAUCCAACCUGCCCUUCACCACGGGAUAACCCGGCGAAAGUCGGACUAAUACCGCAUGUUGUCCAUUGACGGCAUCCGAUUUGGACGAAAGGUUUGGCGGUGAAGGAUGGGGAUGCGUCCGAUUAGCUGGACGGCGGGGUGACGGCCCACCGUGGCGACGAUCGGUAGGGGUUCUGAGAGGAAGGUCCCCCACACUGGAACUGAGACACGGUCCAGACUCCUACGGGAGGCAGCAGUGAGGAAUAUUGGUCAAUGGGCGUAAGCCUGAACCAGCCAAGUAGCGUGCAGGAUGACGGCCCUAUGGGUUGUAAACUGCUUUUAUGCGGGGAUAAAGUGGCCCACGUGUGGGUUUUUGCAGGUACCGCAUGAUUAAGGACCGGCUAAUUCCGUG